This 119-nucleotide ribosomal RNA is filed under the name Pteropus vampyrus (large flying fox). The record is from RNAcentral. Lineage: Eukaryota; Metazoa; Chordata; Mammalia; Chiroptera; Pteropodidae.
GUCUCUGGCCAUGCCAUCCUGAACAAGCCCAAUCUCAUCUGAUCUCGGAAGCUAAGCAGGAUCCAGCCUGGUUAGUACUUGGAUGGGAGACCACCUAGGAAGACAAGGUGCUGUACGCA